GACGAACGCUGGCGGUGUGCCUAAUACAUGCAAGUCGAACGAGAGCGCACUGUGCUUGCGCUGGUAAGGCUGGCGGCUGACGGGUGAGUGACACGUGGAUCACCUUCUCCUCAGUGGGGGGUAACAUCGGGAGACGGCUGCUAACACCGCCUCAGUCUUCGUGCCGCAUGGCGCGAGGGGGAAACGAGCCGCGCGCGUCUGAUUAUGGAGAGACCCGCGUAGCAUUAGCGCGUGGGCGAGGUCACGGCUCACCAAGGCCGCGAUGCGUAGCUGGUCUGAGAGGAUGAUCAGCCACACUGGAACUGAGACACGGUCCAGACUCCUACGGGAGGCAGCAGUGGGGAAUAUUGGACAAUGGGCGCAAGCCUGAUCCAGCCAUACCGCGUGGGUGAAGAAGGCCUUCGGGUUGUAAAGCCCUUUUGUUGGGAAAGAAAAGCAGCAGGUUAAUCCCCCGCUGUUCUGACGGUACCCAAAGAAUAAGCACCGGCUAACUUCGUG
RNAcentral lists this ribosomal RNA (498 nucleotides) under uncultured bacterium. RNAcentral's name for it is "partial 16S ribosomal RNA". It matches the Rfam family "Bacterial small subunit ribosomal RNA", at positions 28 to 507 of the family's 1533-position model. The record is from RNAcentral.